This is a long non-coding RNA of Cephus cinctus (wheat stem sawfly), 2247 nucleotides long. RefSeq lists it as uncharacterized. Lineage: Eukaryota; Metazoa; Arthropoda; Insecta; Hymenoptera; Cephidae. The transcript has 3 exons. The record is from RefSeq and is a predicted model, not a curated record.
GGUGCACCCUCCUUACUUGCUUCUCCUCGUCGGUCCUCGUUUGUCCUGCUGAGACUCACUGGAGAACACAGUCACCCCAAUUAAAUAAAUAGGGACACAUGUCACGAUAAUCGGCGGCACUCACUGCACGCGCUAAUGGCAAGGGAGCAACACGUCGGACGUGCUUCAAACAGGCGUUUUCACUCGCGGCUCGCGUGCAAUUGCACAAGUGGAUGUUGUACGCAAUUUGUUAGGAAGCCAAGCGCGCACGGGGCCGCCCGAGAGACUGAGCCAGGCGAAGCUGUCUGUAGCAGCGAAGCAAAAGCUAGUCGCGAGGUCCCCACUUCCUCCACGCGGGUCUCCGCUUCUGUGUUUUGGCUCCUGCCAGUGAAGAGGAUCUUCACGCCCUCGCCAACGUCUUCCGCGCCACUCCUAUUCCUUCCUCGUGCUUCUUGGCUCUCACACGGCUACGCAGAGGAGGACUGGCCUCGCGAGGCGUCGACGGGAACCUUCUUCUGGUACCGACGGAUAAUACUUGAUCAGCCUCGGAUGUUACCACUUUUUUGGCAACCCAGCACGAACCACCUGACGUCAACCCUUUCCUCGAUACUUGUCAACCAGUUCUUUGCGCGAAUUGACGAAUUAUUCUUUCAAGUCCUGAGCUUGCUCUCGGUAUCUUCUCUUACUCUUCUCUUUCUCAUUGCUUUACAUCGAUGAUUUUAUUGGUGCUUUUUUCAUGCAUUUUUUUGGAUACUUUUCUUCUUAAUACGAUUACUCGUUGAGGCGUUACAGUCGGAGUCACAUGUGUGACGUAUUAAUUUUUACACGGAUUUUUUUUACAUUGUUUACGUUUCUUUUGACAAACGUCAAAAGAUAACAAAUGCUAUUCCUAACAGUCACGUGAUGUCUCAAUUUUUUGACGGAAUCUCGUUACCACUGCGAAUCUUGUUUUAUAUGAAAUUUAAAAAAUUCUUAAAGUCACACUCACUCCGUCAUCUCCAAUGCAUUGCUUCUAAUCUUCUUAUUUUAUUUACUCCGCAGAUUUGCAUACAAAAACGAUCAAUAAACGCCGUUGGAGAUGGAUAAGGAAAAAAGAAAACAAGACUGGAUGAUAGAAAAAUUUGUUCCAGAAUAAUGGGAACGGUGCAAUCAAUGAUUGUCUUAAAGCGCGUCUUUCGAGGGCGGGAAAAUUCAAAAGUUUUUCCCAAGACAGUUACAGUGUCACCCUUGCUCUCGUCCCGUACUGGAAUCGUAGUUUACAGGAUUGGCGUUCGUCUAGUCCAAGUAGAAAUGUAAUAGGUGGAUGCACCACGGGUUCACCUCUCUUUUAUACCGUCGACGACAAAGUGGUACCGCCCCCUGGCGCGUGAGGAUCGCCUCGGCACCGGACCUACGGGGAUGAUGCUAUAUCUACUGUUGCCUACUCUCGGCAACACACCCCUUCGUCUACCCCCACCACCACUUCUAAUACCCUUCCUUGCACCGAGAUGCAUUUCACCGACGCAAUCAGAAUAUGCCGGCUACACGUUCUGUCCCUCCUAGAAGCAUGAGCCCAUGUACAUAUAUAAGCAAGCAUAAAAAAAAUAUGAUCUACCCCCUAGACACAGGAUACAAAAACAAAUUUACAUCGUUAGAUGAAAACGUAUCUUAGUCUCUAAUUUACUUUUAAAAAGCUGCUAUUUUUAUAUUUUUAUAAAUUUUCAUAUCAAUGUAUUUAUUAUACAUACGUGUACUAUAAUGUAAUCGGCCAUUUCCGUCGGCACUUCGUGCUUCCUCGUGCCGUGUAAUCCAAGUCGGUCCAAUGCUUUACCGACAACUUGUUGGUUCUUGGUUCACGAUUAGUGUGCGCUUGUAGGUGUUAAGUGCUCCGGGUAGUAGGAAUAGUAGUAGUGGUAUUAGUAGCAGCAGCAGCAGCAGCAGCAGUAGUAGUAAUGAUACUAGUAUCUGUUGUCAACAGAUACUCGUCGAUCGAUUAUACUUAAAAACAUUAUUUUGGAAUUUUUAGGGAAUUGAUUUUUUUUCUCUUCACUGUAACUAUUGACCUUAAUUAACUUUGCGUAAUAGCAUCUACGUAAUUAUAUUUGCUCAUAUGGACUUGUAUGGCUGUAUACUGUUUACGUAUUGCUAAAUAUAUUUAUGGACAGUCAUUUAAAAUCUGCAGUAUCACGUAGGAUUAACGCGCUUGUAUGUAUUAAGUGAUUGAUAAUCGUAACUGUUUUACCGACGGAGGAAUACGAGAAUAUUAACGUUUCCUGCGACGUUAACGCC